AUCCACGACUAAAUCAUUGAGGUCUGGCAAUGUACUUCCUACUGUCUGUAUAAUUUGCAAGAGGGCUGACCGCUUUGUGAAAGAAGGACACAAGACAAAGAAAGAAAAAAUGGUCCAAGCAGAAACUAUAAAUGCUGGGAGUUUGGUUAAAGCAACUGAACUGCAAAUGGACGAAUCCAUCCUCAAGGAUGUAAGUGGAAAAGAUGCUACAAAGAAUAUACAAGAUUUCUGGGGGCUACAACAAGUGAUGAAAGGAUGCCAGAAGCCUGGGAGUAUGCCACUGUGUACACAGAAUUAAUUUUGUGA
Cyprinodon tularosa is the source of this 306-nucleotide long non-coding RNA. RefSeq lists it as uncharacterized. The transcript has 3 exons. The record is from RefSeq and is a predicted model, not a curated record. NCBI's taxonomy places the organism in Eukaryota, Metazoa, Chordata, Actinopteri, Cyprinodontiformes, Cyprinodontidae.